This 484-nucleotide ribosomal RNA is filed under the name uncultured bacterium. Its description in RNAcentral is "partial 16S ribosomal RNA". It matches the Rfam family "Bacterial small subunit ribosomal RNA", at positions 30 to 507 of the family's 1533-position model. The record is from RNAcentral.
AUUGAACGCUGGCGGCAGGCCUAACACAUGCAAGUCGAGCGGAUGAAGGGAGCUUUCUCCUGGCUUCAGCGGCGGACGGGUGAGUAAUGCCUAGGAAUCUGCCUGGUCGUGGGGGAUAACGUACGGAAAGGGGCGCUAAUAUCGUAUACGUCCUGAGGGUGAAAGGGGGGGAUCUUCGGACCUCAAGCUUUCAGAUGAGCCUGGGUCGCAUUAGCUAGUUGGGAAGGUAAAGGCCUACCAAGGCGACGAUCCGUAGCUGACCUGAGAGGGUGAUCGGCCACACUGGAACUGAGACACGGUCCAGACUCCUACGGGAGGCAGCAGUAGGGAAUUUUCCGCAAUGGGCGAAAGCCUGACCGAGCAAUGCCGCGUGAGUGAUGAAGGUCUUCGGAUUGUAAAACUCUUUAAGUAGGGAAGAAGAAAUGUGUAAGUAACCAUGCACGUUUUGACGGUACCUAAUAAGAAAGCCACGGCUAACUACGUG